Non-coding RNA from Acanthosepion pharaonis, 109 nucleotides. The record is from the annotation of a GenBank genome assembly. Lineage: Eukaryota; Metazoa; Mollusca; Cephalopoda; Sepiida; Sepiidae.
GCAGCCACAUCAUGUUGAAACAUUGGUUCCCAUACAAUCACAGAAGUUAAGCAAUGAACCUGGUUAGUACCUUGAUGGGUGACUGCUUGGGAAUACCAGGUGCUGUAAG